RNAcentral lists this transfer RNA (63 nucleotides) under Cosmoscarta heros. RNAcentral's name for it is "tRNA-Glu". Lineage: Eukaryota; Metazoa; Arthropoda; Insecta; Hemiptera; Cercopidae. The record is from RNAcentral.
AUUUAUAAAGUUUUAUAACAUUUCAUUUUCAAUGAAAAAACAAGAAAUUAUUCUUUAUAAAUA